RNAcentral lists this ribosomal RNA (428 nucleotides) under uncultured bacterium. RNAcentral describes it as "partial 16S ribosomal RNA". It matches the Rfam family "Bacterial small subunit ribosomal RNA", at positions 354 to 796 of the family's 1533-position model. The record is from RNAcentral.
GUAGGGAAUAUUGCGCAAUGGACGAAAGUCUGACGCAGCGACGCCGCGUGAGUGAUGAAGGCCUUAGGGUCGUAAAGCUCUGUUGAAUGGGAAGAAAAAAAUGACGGUACCAUUCGAGGAAGGACCGGCUAACUUCGUGCCAGCAGCCGCGGUAAUACGAGGGGUCCUAGCGUUGUUCGGAAUCAUUGGGCGUAAAGGGUGUGUAGGUGGCCAUGUAAGUCAGGUGUGAAAGCCCCGGGCUCAACCCGGGAAGUGCACUUGAUACUGCGUGGCUUGAGUACCGAAGAGGGUAGUGGAAUUCCAGGUGUAGUGGUGAAAUACGUAGAUAUCUGGAGGAACACCGGUGGCGAAGGCGGCUACCUGGUCGAGUACUGACACUGAGGUGCGAAAGCAUGGGGAGCAAACAGGAUUAGAUACCCUGGUAGUCC